AACCUUUAUGUUAGACCUCAAAUCAGGUAGGACUACCCGCUGAACUUAA
RNAcentral lists this ribosomal RNA (49 nucleotides) under Hannaella luteola. Its description in RNAcentral is "partial 26S ribosomal RNA". The record is from RNAcentral. Lineage: Eukaryota; Fungi; Basidiomycota; Tremellomycetes; Tremellales; Bulleribasidiaceae.